Anolis carolinensis (green anole) is the source of this 988-nucleotide long non-coding RNA. RefSeq lists it as uncharacterized. The transcript is spliced from 3 exons. The record is from RefSeq and is a predicted model, not a curated record. Lineage: Eukaryota; Metazoa; Chordata; Lepidosauria; Squamata; Anolidae.
GACAGGACGUUCGUCAUUUUGCUGUGGAAUGUACUCUUAUCAGUAGUGUGUGUGUGCUUCGCUGAACGGCAAGGAGAAAUCAUGUCUGCAACGAGCGAUGGACUUUGUAUCUUGUAAAUACCUUUGUAUAUAUUUGGAAUAAAGCCUUAGAACCGCUGCCUUCAGCUGACUUGCGACUGAGGUGUCGUUUGUCGGUACUGCUUCUCCGGACGGGCAAGCAGUCUGACCGAGGAGGAAUUGGACAUUCUGCACCACAUUUUGCUAUAGUUUUUCAAUGAAUAUUUCAGAAAGUCCCAACCAAUUCAACAUACUCUGUGGCAGCUGCAAAAAUGAAGUUUCUGGAGUAGAACAACUAUUUUCAAAGCAGGCGUUUGUCGCUUGUAAUAUCUGCUGCAAGAGUGUUUCCAUCUAUCCUGAUGCCAGCUCUCCCGGUCCUCAGAUGUGAUCAGUUUAUUUUUAAUUAAAGGGAGCUGCCUCGCGCAAUUCAGAUUAAUCAAACCCGCAUUAGAGAGGGAAAGGGGGAGACAAGUCGCUAAGAUGCCUCGCUCAAGCACUCAUGGCUAGGGCCAUUUCGCACAAUUGGCCAAUUCAUAUGAACAGUGUCUCCCGUUGCAUAAAAAGGCUGGGCACGUUGGCUGAAAAGCCUGACAGAAGGUGUGAUGAUCCUUUUUCCAGCUCCAAUAAAAUAAAAAAAUGCAUGGAAAUACGAGGGUUGAAUGAAAAGUAAUGCCUCCAUGUCAGAACCCUGCUACUAGAGCCUGGAUGUGGCUCUGAGUUUCAGGGUCACUGACAUUGAUAAGACACCUGCGGCUCAGGACUCGGAGAAGAAACGGCUGCUGGACUUGGCGGGGAAUUUGCGCGGGGUUUUGCUGAGCGGGAAGAGACUUUUCAAAUGAGGGGGAGGGUAUAUAAAGGAUGGUUGGCCGGAGCCUCCCAUUCUUGGCUUUUUUGAUGUUCAUGUUUCCUGCAGUAAAAGUUUCUGGUGAUA